UGUGGCCAGGAUUCGAACCAUAAUUAAACAGAUUUACAGUCUCAAUGCUCUACCAACUGAGCCAUAGUAAC
This is a non-coding RNA of Araneus ventricosus, 71 nucleotides long. NCBI's taxonomy places the organism in Eukaryota, Metazoa, Arthropoda, Arachnida, Araneae, Araneidae. The record is from the annotation of a GenBank genome assembly.